Molecule: ribosomal RNA, 400 nt
Filed under: phytoplankton environmental sample
Lineage: Eukaryota
Description: partial small subunit ribosomal RNA
Rfam family: Eukaryotic small subunit ribosomal RNA
Source: RNAcentral
AGCUCCAAUAGCGUAUAUUAAAGUUGUUGCAGUUAAAAAGCUCGUAGUUGGAUUUCGGAGCCGACCGGGCGGUCUGUCGAGAGACACGCACUGCACGGUGGCUCUUCCUCUCGGAGGCCCUGGCUGCCCUUAACUGGAGCGGGCAGGGGAUUCGGGACGUUUACUUUGAAAAAAUUAGAGUGUUCAAAGCAGGCCGGUGCUUGGAUACAUUAGCAUGGAAUAAUGGAAUAAGGCUUGGGUCUUAUUUUGUUGGUUUUCGGAACAUGAAGUAAUGAUUAAGAGGGACAGACGGGGGCAUUCGUAUUGCGGUGGGAGAGGUGAAAUUCUUGGAUCAUCGCAAGACGCCCUACAGCGAAAGCAUUUGCCAAGAAUGUUUCCAUUAAUCAAGAACGAAAGUAGG